CCUACGGGAGGCAGCAGUGGGGAAUAUUGCACAAUGGGGGAAACCCUGAUGCAGCGACGCCGCGUGAGGGAAGAAGUAUUUCUGUACGUAAAGCUCUAUCAACAGGGAAGAAAAUUACGGUACCUGCCUACUACGCCCCGGCUAACUACGUGCCAGCAGCGGCGGUAAUACGUAGGGGGCAAGCGUUAUCCGGAUUUACUGGGUGUAAAGGGAGCGUAGACGGCAGCGCAAGUCUGGAGGGAAAGCCCAUGGCUUAACCAUGGAACUGCUGUGGAAACUGUGAAGCUAGAGUGCAGGAGAGGUAAGCGGAAUUCCUAGUGUAGCGGUGAAAUGCGUAGAUAGUAGGAGGAACACCAGUGGCGAAGGCGGCUCACUGGACUGUAACUGACGCUGAGGCUCGAAAGCGUGGGGAGCAAACAGGAUUAGAUACCCCUGCAGUC
RNAcentral lists this ribosomal RNA (440 nucleotides) under uncultured bacterium. RNAcentral describes it as "partial 16S ribosomal RNA". It matches the Rfam family "Bacterial small subunit ribosomal RNA", at positions 338 to 795 of the family's 1533-position model. The record is from RNAcentral.